AUUGUCAGUAACGUGAGGACUAAAACAGAGCAAAUGUCACCUUGUCCCUGCAUCAGCUCCAGAAAGGGUGGUGGAUUAGAGGCUUUUAGCAUACCUCAGCCACUCGGAAAUAGCAUAAAAAUUAACUCCAUGAGCUUUAAUUCAAGAAGAAAAACAGGAAUCCACCAGAAUCAUGAAGGAUGUCCCAAAUCCCAGGGAGGAGAACAUGGGAGAAAAGCACCAGUGAUGGUGUCCAGCUGAUAAAACUGAGCAAAGUCCUAUAUACGAUAGGCAGAGAGCCUCCCUGUGUGAUUCACUUUUCCACUGGGGAUCUGAGCAACAUAGGCCAAGGGGGAAUACUUUGUUUCUCUCAAGACCUAGAGCUAAAUUGGGAAGAUGCUUGGAAAUGCUCAGAGGGAAAAACACCAGGAAAAGCUGCAGGCACUUUUCUAGACCAAGAGCAGGAUGACAUUUUUAAUCUAACUGCAUAGAAAGUCAGUCAUUUCUUGGCGACCUGGCAGCAUGCCAUGCAGGCAGUUUAAUCUCGAGUCAGAGAUUGGAGUUGUUCGCUCUGGAGUGGAGU
This is a long non-coding RNA of Homo sapiens (human), 562 nucleotides long. Ensembl annotates it as long intergenic non-protein coding RNA 1217. The record is from Ensembl. Lineage: Eukaryota; Metazoa; Chordata; Mammalia; Primates; Hominidae.